GAUCUAUGGCGCAAGCAAGUAAGAUCCCUCAAAGACGAUGAGGUAGAUAGGUUCGGGGUGGAAGCGUGGCGACACGUGCAGCUGACGAAUACUAAUCGAUCGAGGACUUAACCAA
RNAcentral lists this ribosomal RNA (115 nucleotides) under Streptococcus pneumoniae. RNAcentral's name for it is "partial 23S ribosomal RNA". It matches the Rfam family "Bacterial large subunit ribosomal RNA", at positions 2811 to 2925 of the family's 2925-position model. The record is from RNAcentral. Lineage: Bacteria; Bacillati; Bacillota; Bacilli; Lactobacillales; Streptococcaceae.